UACAGAGGUGGCAAGCGUUGUUCGGAAUUACUGGGCGUAAAGGGCGCGUAGGCGGUUCGUUAAGUCCUGUGUGAAAUCCCCCGGCUCAACUGGGGAACUGCACAGGAAACUAGCGGGCUUGAGUUCGGGAGAGGGAAGCGGAAUUCCGGGUGUAGCGGUGAAAUGCGUAGAUAUCCGGAGGAACACCGGUGGCGAAGGCGGCUUCCUGGACCGACACUGACGCUGAGGCGCGAAAGCUAGGGGAUCAAACAGG
This 253-nucleotide ribosomal RNA is filed under the name uncultured bacterium. RNAcentral's name for it is "partial 16S ribosomal RNA". It matches the Rfam family "Bacterial small subunit ribosomal RNA", at positions 524 to 776 of the family's 1533-position model. The record is from RNAcentral.